CUCGGUUGCUCCAGGGCAACCCGUCUGCUAUUAUCCAAUCCCUAACUUUCAAAUCCACCGUCUUCAUCUCUCCCACUCUCGAAAAAUCUGUUUUUGUCAAGCUCUCAAUUACAAGACCAAAGUAAACCACCACUUCCUAAACAAGAAAGACUUUUUCUUUUCCCCUGCAACAACAAACAGUUGCAGCAAAGAGCAAGAAAACAAGAAAACCAACAAUACCAAUUCAUACCCACAUCAAAAUCAUGCCUUUGUUACUCAAUUUCAUUCUUAAUAUCUAUGAGCAUGUGCUUGACACAUAAUGAUACACAUGGCAAAACUAUAUACAUAUCAGCAAAAAAACGGAGUCAAAUCGCCAACUCAGCACUUCCGUCCGUUUUUUGGACGAAAAUCGAACGGAAUGACUAUUUGGUAAGUUUUUGAGAGUACAAUUAUUCGAUUGUAACAAAAAAAAGUUUCGGUAACCACAAUGAAAAUCGAACCCCAGUACGGUGACCAAAACGUUAUUUAUCCCGAUAAAGCAGGUAUGAGUUGUUAAUACAUUAUGAGCCUUAACACUCAGCUAGCUGGAAACUUAAAAGAAGAAAACAAAGAACUGGUUUCCCUGCCGACUCUUAUUCUUUAGCCUACCCGUUCCACUUUUCCUCAUCUCUCUAUGUAGUAAAUUUUAUAAAACCUUAAAAGUUCACCAAACUCUCCUAUUUCGGCAAUGGUCAACUGUUGGGGCAAAAAAUUAAAGUAGAAGAUUGAUUUGAGAAGAAGUCUAGAGCACCAAUAAUAAGAGAAUGCUGAAUUUCUAAAGCAAAAACAUCAUCAAAUUCAAGUAAAUUAUGAGGUAAGCUGUGAGUUUUUGUUAUGUUCAUAACAAAUUAGUUAAUCUAUGUUAAAAUUUAUAUAAUUGUUGUGUUGUUUGGUUGAUAAUCGGUUGGGAUUGAGCUGUAUAUUGCUAAGGAGGAUUUGAUGCAGGUUAUAUGGAGUUAUAAGGAAGGAAAUUCUUGACUUAACCAUCUGUAAGUGUUUGUGAAUUCUGUUUUUAAAAAUGGCACACAGAACAUGUUCGAUAAAAUGCUUCUUAGAGGCUGUCAAGUCUAAAAUGUUCGAUAAAAUUCCGUGUUUGUGAUGUUCUGGAUUUCGUUAGGGAAACGGCUCAUGUUUAAGGACUUGGACUAUAUAGACAAGGAGAUGUCAGGGUUUUUCAAGAAGAGGGAGAUUGAAAGUACAAUAUUUGGUAGUUAGAACAAGUUAAAAGCUUGAAUAAAUCAUUCUCAGUUUUGCACAGAAAAGCAGUUUGGAUUUGUAAGAUUUUGGAUUUGUGGAUUUGUACUUUCUUUGUGUGAUUUGGAUUUACAAGUGACUUGGUUUUGUAUUUGUACUUUUAGGUUUAAAGGUUUCCAUACUUUUACUUUUGGGUUUACAGCAGAUUUGGCGCAAGUCCGCUAGAAUUACUAGCGAACAUAUUAAAAAUAUUUCAAUUACGUGUUUUAAUGGCCUGAGUGAGGACGAAUUUGUCUAAAAUUGUUUAUUACCGCGUCCGCUAGAAAUACUAGCGGACGGUGUAAUAUAUUUUUUAAUCCCAACCUUUUAUUUUUGGAAUGGAAGGUUAAGAUGUUAUAUGCUAUUUUUUGAUCUAUAACAAAUAAAUGAUAUAAAUCACUCCCAUAUAUAUAUAUAUAUGCAUCCACCCACCUACCAAUCAAUCCCUCACACCCCAUACAAACACAGAUGUGUAAUAUACGCACAAGAAUAUCAUAUAUUCUUAAUUUCUCACGUUCAAAUUAUUAACAUAUAUAAAUAUAUGGGAUAUGACGACAUGUUCCAUAUAAGUAAAUAUCCAUACAAGCAUAGAACUUUUGGGGCGGCUAAUGACUUGUAUGCAUGAAUAAAAUUGAAGACAGAUGUAUGGUCAGACGCUGACAUGCGUUACAAUCAACUCACAGGUCUCAAUAUGAAUUUUGACUCUUCUUAUAUCAUGUUAUGUGCAUAACGAUUAUUAAAGAUAUAAUUUUUUGUCUUUAAAAAAUAAAACAAAGUAUAUAAAAUGAAAAAUAAAUAUGUUAUUUAGUGAAAUUCAUUAAUAUAAAAAAAAUAAAAAUAUUUAUUAUUUUAUAUAAUCUUGUAGAAUUAUUAUGAAUAAAUUUUAAAAAAAUUCUCUUCUUUUACUAGUAUUAAUAUAUGUAUGUAAUUUGUAUUUUGUUCAUUCUUUUAAGGACGGAGGGAGUAAGAUUGACCGUCAAUCGUCAUACUAAUCAAACCGUUUAGUGCAACUUAAUUAUAUAAUAUUUAUCCAACAACAUGAAGCGGAUAAUCAUAAAAUUCACAAGUAGAAUCAUGAUGGCGCCUAUUUUAGUUGACAUCUAAUAGGAAAAAUUUGUAUUAAACCAGAAGUGAACUAACUGCAGCAUGCAUCCAGUAAAUAUAUAUUGCAAAAGGCAGAAAAACAACACAACCCCAAUCUUAAUAUCAACUCCAGUACUUAAUUGCUCAAUCUUCUGGAUUUUGGGUCUUCAUCUCUCUUUAUACUAACCAAUUCUGUCUUGCCACGUUCCUCAUGUACCAUAUAUAUAGAGAGAUAUGCUGAUGGAUUACUUUUAUUGUCCUAUCCAAACAAUAAGUGCACCCGGUCCAAUUGGCUAGUACACAUUACUAAAAUAACCACUUGUACCCAUACCAGCUAAAGGCUUUCGAAUUCUCCAUACUUUUUGACUUUUCACAGAAGGAUCAUCAACACAGACCCAACCAUGCACCAAAAAGAUGCUUUAUACAGCUUAAAAGUUAUAAAAUCUCCUUCAUAUUUACCUAUAUUCUUGUAUAUUUAUGCUGACCUGUUAAUUUUAAUUUCCUACGUGGCUGGAGCACAUAUUACCGCAGACAUUCAACAUCCGGUUAUGCACACACUGCAGCCAUCACUCCACACUCCUCUCGUGGCUGACUUGUGCCAAAACGAGACUAUCGCCUUCUCAUACCAUUAUAUAACCAUAUAGCCUCACACUUCCAUUCAAACUCAACCCAAACCAGAAAAACGUAACCUAGUUUUUUCAUCUUCUAGCUAGUCUGAGUCCUGUCUGAUCAUCAGGCAAACAACAACCCGCUUAUUCAAAAAAAAAAAUCAUUUUUCAUACCAAGAAUUUCAUAAAAAUGUCUCUCGUUUCAAAAACCAUUGGCCCAUGGUGCAAGAAGCAUGCAGAUGGAGAUGAUUAUGGAUAUGACUAUGCCCCGGCAGCACACAUAGAACAAGAUGGAGACGAUGAUGAUGGAGAUUACGAUUAUGCUCCAGCUGCAUCCUUGGAAGGUGAUGAUGACGAUGAUGGUGGUUAUGAUUAUGCUCCAGCUGCAUGAAUGAAUUAUACUGUAGUAGUGUAAACUCAUGACAGAAUGCAAAAGAGCUCGACUAUUACUCCUAGUUACAGAGUUCAUAAACAUCCUAAAUUUUGUAGCUAACGAUGAGAUCAAGGGCAUUAUAUUAGUCUAUGGUCGAUCUUGAUGCUGAUGGGGCCUAGCUUAUUAUGUAUGGUGGGUUAGAGAUUCACUUUUUCUAGUAGUUUUGAUGACUAGAGAUCAGCUUCUCAUAACUAUGUUAUUCAUCUAUAUAUGAAAUUGCCAUUUCAAUUAAUAACAUAAGGGUAUUCAUCUAAAUCUAAUGAUUCAUUACAUACGUACGGGUAUUCAAUAAAAGAUUAUAUUAGAACUAUUUGGAGCUAGCUAGCUAUAUUUGUUGCCAAAUAAAUAAGCUGUCUCUAGAGCUGCUAGCGCCUGUUCUUUUUGUUACACGAACAACAAGAUUUUGAUUAGCUUUCCUGGUUGUCUGCUAGUGUUAUUUAGUGGGAUAAUACGAUACAGUCUCAUUAAGUGCAUUGUGAGAACCAACUAUCUUUACUCAAUUACAAGAAAUAAUUUCUUAUUCUAGGCUAGCAUUAAG
This 3913-nucleotide long non-coding RNA is filed under the name Panax ginseng (ginseng). Its description in RNAcentral is "long non-coding RNA (PGIN_LNC005714)". Lineage: Eukaryota; Viridiplantae; Streptophyta; Magnoliopsida; Apiales; Araliaceae. The record is from RNAcentral.